This 325-nucleotide long non-coding RNA is filed under the name Mytilus galloprovincialis (Mediterranean mussel). The record is from RNAcentral. Lineage: Eukaryota; Metazoa; Mollusca; Bivalvia; Mytilida; Mytilidae.
CCUGGACUGAAUGCAUGCAUGUUGUCCCGUUACACCACUGUCUCAGGUUAGGGGAGGGUUUGGAUCCCGCUAUCAUGUUUAACCAUGUCACAUCCUGUAUCUAUGAGCCUGUCCCAAGUCAGAAGCCUGUAAUUGAGUGGUUGUCGUUUGUUGAAAUUAUGCGGUUGUUUUAUCUGUUCGUUGAUGUAUUGUCUUAGCUCCCUGUUCAGUUGUGCUGCAUCAACACUACCAAUCAUCGUUGCAUUUAAAUGGUCAGGUAGGGCAACCAUAUGUGCAAUUUGGAUAACCAACAAAGUAGCUAGUAAAAUUUUGGUGUUCAUGUUAU